GGGCCCGCACAAGCGGUGGAGUAUGUGGUUUAAUUCGACGCAACGCGCAGAACCUUACCCAGUCUUGACAUCCCUGGACCACUAUGGAGACAUAGCUUUUCGACCUAACGGAAGAAUCAGGUGACAGGUGCUGCAUGGCUGUCGUCAGCUCGUGUCGUGAGAUGUUCGGUUAAGUCCGGUAACGAGCGCAACCCCUGUCCUUAGUUGCCAAUUAUGGAACUCUAAGGAGACUCCCGGUGUUAAACCGGCGGAAGAUGGGGAUGACGUCAAGUCCUCAUGGCCCUUAUCGGCUGGGGCUACACACGUACUACAAUGCUACGGACAAAGGGCAGCAAGUUCGCGAGGACAAGCAAAUCCCAUAAACCGUGGCUCAGUUCAGAUCGUAGGCUGCAACUCGCCUACGUGAAGGCGGAAUCGCUAGUAAUCGCAGGUC
This 433-nucleotide ribosomal RNA is filed under the name uncultured bacterium. Its description in RNAcentral is "bacterial SSU rRNA". It matches the Rfam family "Bacterial small subunit ribosomal RNA", at positions 917 to 1350 of the family's 1533-position model. The record is from RNAcentral.